RNAcentral lists this ribosomal RNA (429 nucleotides) under Fusobacteriota bacterium. RNAcentral describes it as "Fusobacteria bacterium partial 16S ribosomal RNA". It matches the Rfam family "Bacterial small subunit ribosomal RNA", at positions 355 to 776 of the family's 1533-position model. The record is from RNAcentral. Lineage: Bacteria; Fusobacteriati; Fusobacteriota.
UGGGGAAUAUUGCGCAAUGGGCGAAAGCCUGACGCAGCGACGCCGCGUGAGGGAUGAAGGUUUUCGGAUCGUAAACCUCUGUCAGAAGGGAAGAAACCGCACUGUGCUAAUCAGCAGUGCCUUGACGGUACCUUGAAAGGAAGCACCGGCUAACUCCGUGCCAGCAGCCGCGGUAAUACGGAGGGUGCAAGCGUUAAUCGGAAUUACUGGGCGUAAAGCGCACGUAGGCUGCUUUGUAAGUCAGGGGUGAAAUCCCACGGCUCAACCGUGGAACUGCCUUUGAUACUGCUUAGCUUGAAUCCGGGAGAGGGUGGCGGAAUUCCAGGUGUAGGAGUGAAAUCCGUAGAUAUCUGGAGGAACAUCAGUGGCGAAGGCGGCCACCUGGACCGGUAUUGACGCUGAGGUGCGAAAGCGUGGGGAGCAAACAGG